CCUACGGGGGGCAGCAGUGGGGGAUAUUGCACAAUGGGGGAAACCCUGAUGCAGCGACGCCGCGUGGGUGAAGAAGCGCCUCGGCGCGUAAAGCCCUGUCAGCAGGGAAGAAAAUGACGGUACCUGAGUAAGAAGCCCCGGCUAACUACGUGCCAGCAGCCGCGGUAAUACGUAGGGGGCAAGCGUUAUCCGGAUUUACUGGGUGUAAAGGGAGCGUAGACGGCCAGACAAGUCUGAAGUGAAAAUCCAGCGCUUAACGUUGGAAGUGCUUUGGAAACUGCCGGGCUAGAGUGCAGGAGGGGCAG
This 305-nucleotide ribosomal RNA is filed under the name uncultured bacterium. Its description in RNAcentral is "bacterial SSU rRNA". It matches the Rfam family "Bacterial small subunit ribosomal RNA", at positions 338 to 660 of the family's 1533-position model. The record is from RNAcentral.